AACGCAACUUGGGCCCCUUGGUAUUCCAUGGGGCAUGCCUGUUUGAGUGUCGUUGACUUCCUCAACCAAAAUUGGUGUUAAAAUCCCACUUUUUCGUUGGACCGUGGAGUGUGCCAGUUCCUCCGAACCUGGCUCCCCUCAAACUCAAUCACGAAGCACCCGACGCGGUCUUUGACCGAAAGGGUUCGUCGGCAUUGAUAACUCGUUACAUGCCCGCAACCCGCCAACGUCGAGUCUUUUGAUCUCUAAAAUAUAUAUAUAUCUCAUCACACCUCAAAUCAGGCAGGACUACCCGCUGAACUUAA
Molecule: unclassified non-coding RNA, 305 nt
Filed under: uncultured fungus
Lineage: Eukaryota; Fungi
Description: partial contains 5.8S ribosomal RNA, internal transcribed spacer 2, and large subunit ribosomal RNA
Source: RNAcentral